GAAACGGUCGGAGGCACGCACACACUAUCCGUAUACCAUCUUGGCAUAAUGGCUUGUAUAUUUUGAAUUGACUUGAAGUGAAGUGGGUAGAUCGGAUCAACACAACAGGGCACACUAUUCAGAUCAAUUCUGGUAGUUUUUGUUUUAUGUUUAAAGAUUUAUAUGGCAUGUAUAGAGUUUGAAUGAAUUGAAGUAAAGAUGUUAUAAACUAGUUAACAAUAUUUGUACUAAAACAGUUUUUGGUAAGUAGCAGUAGUUUGACUUUGAAAAAUCACUAAAAAUAGUAGAAAUGGAAUUAAAUAAUGAAUAAGUUAUGGAA
This is a long non-coding RNA of Gossypium arboreum, 319 nucleotides long. RefSeq lists it as uncharacterized. NCBI's taxonomy places the organism in Eukaryota, Viridiplantae, Streptophyta, Magnoliopsida, Malvales, Malvaceae. The record is from RefSeq and is a predicted model, not a curated record. The transcript has 2 exons.